UGCAGCGAAAGUAUUGGGAGCAAACAGGAUUAGAUACCCUGGUAUUCCUCCCCCUAAAUGAUGUCAACUAGGUGUUGGGUGGAAAUCUACCUAGUUAUGCCAUAACGAGCUAAGUUGUCCCCCUGGGGGUUCCGGUCGCAAGAUUAAAACUUAAAGGAAUUGACGGGGACCCGCCCAAGCCGUGGAUUAUGUGGAUUAAUUCGAUGCAACGGGAAAAACCUUACCUACCCUUGACAUGGUUGGAACCCUGUUGAAAGGUGGGGGUUCUUCAAAGAGAAUCAUCCCCCCGGUGUAUCAGGGCAGUAGUUUUCUUUGUGUCGUGAAAGGUUGGGUUAAGUCCCGCAACGAGUGCCACCCUUGUCAUUAGUUGAUCAGCAAUUCCCCCAAAUGAGAAAUUCCGUGACAAACCGGAGGAAGGGGGGGAGGACGUCAAGUCCUUCUGGCCCUUAUGGGUAGGGCUUUCCACCUCAUUCCAUGGUGUGAACAGAGGGGUCCCUUCCCCCGCCGGGGAGCUAAUCCCCGAAAGCCCGUCCUUAUACGGAUAGGUGUUUGGAUCUCGCGUUUUUGAAGGUGGAAUGUCUAGGAAUUUAGGAUCAGCAUGCCCGGGUGAAUACCCUCCCCAGUACUGGUCCCACCGCCCGUCACACCCA
This 650-nucleotide ribosomal RNA is filed under the name Burkholderia sp. AD30. RNAcentral's name for it is "bacterial SSU rRNA". It matches the Rfam family "Bacterial small subunit ribosomal RNA", at positions 749 to 1405 of the family's 1533-position model. Lineage: Bacteria; Pseudomonadati; Pseudomonadota; Betaproteobacteria; Burkholderiales; Burkholderiaceae. The record is from RNAcentral.